CGCAGCCGCGGUAAUUCCAGCUCCAAUAGCGUAUAUUAAAGUUGUUGCAGUUAAAAAGCUCGUAGUUGAAUUUCGGGGUUAGUAGGUUGGUCGUGCCUCAGGUAUGUACUGAUCUCACUGAUUCCUCCUUCCUGAUGAACCGUAAUGCCAUUAAUUUGGUGUUGCGGGGAAACUGGACUGUUACUUUGAAAAAAUUAGAGUGUUUAAAGCAGGCUAACGCUUGAAUACAUUAGCAUGGAAUAAUGAAAUAGGACGUUCGAUCCUAUUUUGUUGGUUUCUAGGAUUGACGUAAUGAUUAAUAGGGAUAGUUGGGGGCAUUAGUAUUCAAUUGUCAGAGGUGAAAUUCUUGGAUUUAUUGAAGACUAACUACUGCGAAAGCAUCUGCCAAGGAUGUUUUCAUUAAUCAAGAACGAAAGUUAGGGGAUCGAAGACGAUCAGAUACCGUCGUAGUCUUAACCAUAAACUAUGCCGACUAGGAUCGGAUGAUGUUAAUUUUUAAUGACUCAUUCGGCGCCUUACG
Molecule: ribosomal RNA, 520 nt
Filed under: uncultured Glomus
Lineage: Eukaryota; Fungi; Glomeromycota; Glomeromycetes; Glomerales; Glomeraceae
Description: SSU rRNA
Rfam family: Eukaryotic small subunit ribosomal RNA
Source: RNAcentral